GUUAGAAAUGCUAUCACUCUGAACGCACCCGAUCUCGUCUGAUCUCAGAAGCUAAGCAGGGUCGGUCCUGGUUAGUACUUGGAUGGGAGAAAUGCUAUCAGUUUCUCAGU
Molecule: ribosomal RNA, 110 nt
Filed under: Neogale vison (American mink)
Lineage: Eukaryota; Metazoa; Chordata; Mammalia; Carnivora; Mustelidae
Source: RNAcentral